Long non-coding RNA from Nycticebus coucang (slow loris), 2747 nucleotides. RefSeq lists it as uncharacterized. Lineage: Eukaryota; Metazoa; Chordata; Mammalia; Primates; Lorisidae. The record is from RefSeq and is a predicted model, not a curated record. The transcript has 4 exons.
CCAGAAGAGAAGUGGCAGCAGACACAGUAGCCACCGUGAGGAGGAAGGCAAUGCUCUGAGGCCACACAACGCAGGCCAAGGGGCGAUUCCGUGCGGCUAUUGGCUUGGCCCUGGGAAGUGCUGGCCUGAUGUGAUGUCUCAAUGCAUGAGUAGCACCAAAAAGGAACUGGGUUUCUGCAUGAAAAUAAUUUGUAUCAAAGGGCUUCCAAGAACAGCAUUAUUUUAAUGGAAUAUAAACUUCACAAGACCUGGUAGAUAGCCUAUCUUGUUCGUGGAUAUAUCUUUGGCACUCGAUAGAUUGUGCCGAGGCCACAGACAUAUUCCCAGUAUUUGCCACGAGAGUCCCAGAGCCAAGUUCCUCAUGCCUGAAGUUCUCCUGUGACCUAGGAAAGCCUGGGAGUCAGCACACAUCAGUGUUGGGGCUGUCUGUGAUUUUACCAAGAUCGUGCUGCAUCAUGUAUGUAAAGCACACGUGUGGAAAGAACUCAGGGACACAGUCUCCUCUCACCUUGUAGUUCCACCUUGUUGACCUCAUCGUGUUAACUCUGAUGUUGCAGAGAUAUCACUAUUUGCAUUCUCAAGAGCCUCUCGAACACAAAUUCCCACCAAGGAGAUGGAAGGAGAACAGGUUAGUCUUUAGAAGAUGUUUUGGAAAAGUAUUUCCAUCUAUAUCACAUUUUUGGCAGUUUCCAGAAUAGUAGGUCCUGACAAUGUCCCAACAGUCAUGAUGGGUGCUAUUCUGAACAAAGAUCUUUUAAAAAGGAUGCCUAUGAUCAUCAUCAAAAAUAGUAAAAAUUUAUAAUUUGGACUUGUGAAUUUUCCCCUUUCUACUUGAAACUUGAAUACUUUUUUAAAAAAGUCUUUGUAAAGAAGAUUUUCUUUUUCUUUUUGGAUAUGAGAAUUGUGGCCCCAAGUUCAAUCCAAACCAAAUUUCAGAUGUGAAAUUACAACCCCUACCUCUGAAUGGAAACCGUGGAGCCCCUUAGCCAGAGUGGCAAUUGGCAGUCCUACCUUGGUCCCCGAGGACACACACAGUGGGACACCAACCAAGAAAAAGAAGAGGGAAGGAACACGAGGGGAAAUGCUAAAACCAUCUGUACAGAGUUGGGUUUUGUAUGCUGCUGGUAGAACAGUUUGCCCUGGUUGUCUUCUGUAGGGCCAGUCUCCCUCCCAUGACUGCAUUUAAAAGAAUAAGUAGCAAAUGUCUCCUACACCAGUGAUUUCAGAGAGCUGGUGCAGUUUACCACAGGGAGAGUCGGAGUGGGGCUCAGGAAAGGGGCUCUAUCCUGGCUUCAUCAUCAAAGCACCAAGCAUUUUGCUGCAGGUUCCUUGCCCUCCCUGAGAUCCAGAAGCAUCAUCUGUAAAUGUGGACAUUAACACUAUACCCUCUUCACUGGUAAUGGUGAGAAAAUCACACUGCUAUGUACCUAGUGGAAUUUCAGUUUUCCUGGCAGAGGUAGAGGCCCGGGUCUCACACUCCCAAAUACUUAGACUCCAGGGUGCUGAUGAAGAGGGAGCCCACAUUAUUGACCCAUCCUCUAUUCCUCUCUCAUUCCUCUCCCCAGAAUAGGGGAGAAUUAUCCCACAACAUGGGUGCUGACAUUCCUUCCCUGGGCUCUGUGCCCACCAGCCCUGCCUUCACAUGAUUUAGACAGCCUUGAGAGCAGAAUCUACCUGGUUUGGUGCCUCGUUCCCACUCAUCCUGCUCCAGAAGCAAGGGGAUUAGGGGGCCCAGCCCAGGCCUGAAGGAUGAAAGCCCUUUGCCACCAUCAGCCUGUGGUCUGAGUCAGGGACCAGAUCCUAUAACUCUGUUUCAUAGUCCCAGUGGUCACUUUUAUUUUCCAGCAACAGCUGAGAUUGUUCUUUUUGAAUUUCUUAUUCUCUAAAAGAGGGAAAUUGAUUUAAACCCUUAGACAAAUACGUGAGUCAGAAGUUGGUUACAAUGGGUUUGAGUAAAAACAGAGAGAUAAAUCGAAGCAAAGGAAUUAUGGGAUAAUUAAAGCAAAAAUUAAUGGGCCCCUCCUCCAUCUCAGUAGAGAUACACAUCUCUGGUUACAAUUCUGCCACGACACUGCUGUGGUUUAUUGUCCAAUUAAGUGGUUGUCAAUAUGGUCUUUUCUGGGGCCUGGUUCACCACAUGGUGGUCUUAGCUGAAGAUAGACUUUAGCAACCCAUGCUCAGUGAAAUGCCUUAGGUUUCUAUUAUGUCACUCUCUGGUCAUCAUUUCUUUCUUCUUACUUUUCUUCCAGAACACAUUUAUGUAUAACGUAUGUAUGGAGUCUUCAAAAGAGCCCAACUUAUAUAAGCAGUACAGGCAUAGGUACAAAUAGAAACUGCCCCAGUAUUUACUUGCAGAUUAUUUUCUACAUUUUUUCCAUUUCUAAAUCCUCCCAAAAGACAAAUUUUCUUUGGGAACAGAGAAUAUAUUUCUCUUUAAGUGUGUAAAAGGAGCUACAGAAAAUUCUCCAGACACAUGUUUAAAAUGUGUGGUUGAACUGGCAUCUUUACUUGGAAAUGGCCAGUGGUGGAGAAUUUUUAAGUUUGUCUGAUGAUACCUCAAAGAGAUUUUUUUUAAAUGGAACAUUAGGCCCUCAGUUAUGAAUUGUUCCCACAUUUCAGAUCUGCCCAGUGGAACUUUCAACUUUAAAUUGUUUUUGUUAUUAAAGAAAAAAAUCAUUUAUUCAUUUAUAAAGUCUCAUUCUUCUUAGUGUUUUGACUUUAGAGAAGGAUUUAAUUUAGAAAGUUAA